This 497-nucleotide ribosomal RNA is filed under the name uncultured bacterium. RNAcentral describes it as "partial 16S ribosomal RNA". It matches the Rfam family "Bacterial small subunit ribosomal RNA", at positions 28 to 507 of the family's 1533-position model. The record is from RNAcentral.
GAUGAACGCUGGCGGCGUGCCUAAUACAUGCAAGUCGAGCGAACAGACGCGGAGUUUGCUCCUUUGACGUUAGCGGAGGACGGGUGAGAAACACGUGGAUAACCUACUUAUAAGACUGGGAUAAUCUCGGGAAACCGGAGCUAAUACCGGAUAAUAUAUUGCACCGCAUGGUUCAAUAGUGAAAGACGGCUUUGCUGUCACUUCUAGCUGGAUCCGCGCGGCAUUGGCUAGUUGGUACGGUAACGGCUUAUCAAGGCGACGAUGCGUAGCCGACGUGAGAGGGUGAUAGGCCACACUGGAGCGGGGACACGGACCAGACUCCUGCGAGAGGCAGCAGUAGGGAAUCUUCGGCAGUGGGCGAAAGCCUGACGGAGCAGCGCCGCGUGAGUGAUGGAGGUCUUCGGAUCGUGAAACUCUGUUAUUAGGGAAGAACAAAUGUGGAAGUAGCUGUGCACGUCUUGACGGUACCUGGUCAGAAAGCCACGGCUAACUACGUG